GAUGAAGAACGCAGCGAAAUGCGAUACGUAAUGUGAAUUGCAGAAUUCAGUGAAUCAUCGAAUCUUUGAACGCAUAUUGCGCUCUCUGGUAUUCCGGAGAGCAUGCUUGUUUGAGUAUCAGUAAACACCUCAACUUCCAUAUCUUUUUUGAAAUGGGAGUUGGACUUGAGUGAUCCCAACGCUUUUCCUCACCGAAAAGCGGCGGGUUACUUGAAAUGCAGGUGCAGCUGGACUUUUCUCUGAGCUAUAAGCAUAUCUAUUUAGUCUGCCUAAAAAACAGAUUAUUACCUUCGCUGCAGCUAACAUAAAGGAGAUUAGUUCUUGUGCUGACUGAUGCAGGAUUCACAAAGACAGGCUUCGGCCGACUUUGUAAACUCGAUCUCAAAUCAAGUAAGACUACCCGCUGAACUUAAGCAUAUCAAUAAGCGGAGGA
This 433-nucleotide unclassified non-coding RNA is filed under the name soil metagenome. Its description in RNAcentral is "partial contains 5.8S ribosomal RNA, internal transcribed spacer 2, and large subunit ribosomal RNA". The stretch from base 1 to 120 matches the Rfam family "5.8S ribosomal RNA", at positions 35 to 154 of the family's 154-position model. The record is from RNAcentral.